AGCUUAGAUCCGGUGAAAAUUAACUCUGGGGAUCCGUUCCGUGAUUUCGUUGACUAUCCGGGUCGAUUUUUCGAGUCAGAGACGUGGAAAUUACUGCCCGCCGACUGCUUGGGCCUCAAGACAAUAGCCGUCGCCGCCGCCGCGGCCUAUAAGGCGGCGACCAUGGCGAGCCAUCCGGCAUCGCUGAAACCAGGCUGGCCGCCAUGGACGGAGGGGAGCUCAAGCUCUACGGCAUGUGGGGGAGCCCCUUCGUGCUGCGAGUCCGGCUCGCCCUCAAGCUCAAGGGCCUGGACUACGAGUACGUGGAGGAGGACCUGUCCAACAAGAGCGCCGCCCUCCUCCGCCUCAACCCUGUGCACAAGAAGGUCCCCGUCCUCCUCCACGGCGGCCGCCCCAUCGCCGAAUCGGCCGUCAUCCUCGAGUACAUCGACGAGACGUGGCCCCAGAGGUUCCCCCUGAUGCCCGCCGAUCCCCGCGAGAGGGCCGCCGUGCGCUUUUGGUGCCACUUCACCAGCGAAAAGGUCAGCCGGAACUCUGCCGGGGGAUCGCGCCUCACCAUUACCCGUCCUUGCUCCUCACCUCUCGCUGCUCCUACAGAUGUUUCCCUCGAUUGCGGCGAUCUUCCACUCCACCGGCGAGGCGCAGAGUGUGGCCAUCGCCGAAGCGCGGGAGAAUAUGAAGCAGCUUGAAGAUGAGCUCCGAGAGGGCUUCUUCCGAGGGAGGAGAUUCUUCGGUGGUGAGAAGCUGGGCUUCCUGGAUAUCGUCCUCGGCUGCGAUGUGCACUUGUUCCGCGUCGUCGCAGAGGUGACCGAAGCCGACCUCGACAAGGACUUCCCCACCUUCGCCCAGUGGUUUCAGGACUUCCAAGCCCAGCCUGAGGCCCAGGAAGUGCUUCCCCCUUUCGACAAGCUGGUCGACUUCCUCCACGCCCACCGCCGGAAGGUACUGGGUCAAGCUUAGGAAGACGACUUUCUGUAAACUCUCCAGUCAGCUCGUGCAAUAAGGAGAGGGGAGAGGGGAGAGGAGAGAGGAGAGAGAGAGAGAAAGAAUUAUGUUACGUAUGAAUCGAUUUCAAUUAAUAUAUUAAAUAAUAAAUUAUCAGUAGUCUAAAGAGUUUAAUGACUAAUUUACCCCAAAAUUAUGGCAGAACAGCCACAUAACUCAUAAUCAUUAGUUUGUUGUUAUAAAUUUAAGAUUAGAUGGUGUGAAAAAAAAAGUCCAGAGUGAUCCAUUAAUAAUAAUAUUUUAAAAUUGGCGUGUUUAGUCCGGUUCCCUACGAUUUCGGAGAACCGGUUCGGAUUGAGAAAACCGCCCCCGGAUCGGGAUAGUGCGACCGGCGGUCCGGUGACUGGUCGUAUUAGAUCAGCGAAAUCCAUUCCAUUUCUUCUCCCCCUGAAUCUUCUCCCCUUGCGUUUCGGCAGACGCAGUGGUGCUGGAGUUCAACCAGUACACGGAGGGCUCGUGGUGGAGAAGAGAGAUCCUCAGUCGGAAGGAUCACCGGGAAGACGGGAGCGAGGCGGAGGGCUUCUACGGCGGGGUCAGGAAGCUCCGCCGAGACGACGAGAUCGCCGCCUGGAGGCGGCGCUGGCCGACCGGCGUGUUGGACUGAUUGGCCCUCGGCAUCCUCUUCUGUUUUCUUUGCUCUUUUGGGCUGACCUCAUCGAAGACAGCAGCUUCGGCCGUAGGUUUUCAUGGAAAAGCCCGCAGCUUUCGUCCGUAAAAAUUCCUCUAAUAUAUUAUAUCACACCUCCGUACAAGGAGUCCGAUGAACAGGCACGCAGAACUCAUCCGCCGAUUGAAUUUCGCUAGAUUAGAUUGAAGCCCAGAAGCGGGUUUUUAAGAAUGUGCAUUCCAUUUUGAGGAAUUUUCUUGAUUUAGAGGUGUUUUUUACGAGCUUAGAUCUGGCAAAAAAUUAACUCCGGAAUCCGUUCCUUGAUUUCGUCAACUUUUGCGGCACCGGGGUCUACCUCAGACUACUCUGCAACUAUGGGUUCGAUUAUCCAGUCAGAGACGCGGAAAUUACUCCUCGUCGACUGCUUGGGCCUCAAGACAGGAGCCACCGCCGCCACCUAUAAGGCGGCGACCAUGGCGAGCCAUCCGGCAUCGCUGAAACCAGGCUGGCCGCCAUGGACGGAGGGGAGCUCAAGCUCUACGGCAUGUGGGCGAGCCCCUACGUGCUGCGAGUCCGGCUCGCCCUCAAGCUCAAGGGCCUGGACUACGAGUACGUGGAGGAGGACCUAUCCAACAAGAGCGCCGCCCUCCUCCGCCUCAACCCUGUGCACAAGAAGGUCCCCGUCCUCCUCCACGGCGGCCGCCCCAUCGCCGAAUCGGCCGUCAUCCUCGAGUACAUCGACGAGACGUGGCCCCAGAGAUUCCCGCUGAUGCCCGCCGAUCCCCGCGAGAGGGCCGCCGUGCGCUUCUGGUCCCACUUCGCCGUCAACAAGGUCGGCCAGAACUCCGGGGAGAUAUCCAUCCCCACUCCUCAGCCAUUCCUUUUGUCAAUUCUCCUUGCUCUUGCAGUUGGGUCCCUCGGUGACGGCGAUCUUCCGCUCCACCGGCGAGGGGCAGAGGGCGGCCGUCGCCGAAGCGCGGGAGAAUAUGAAGCUGCUGGACGAUGAGCUCUCGGAGGGGCUCUUCCGGGGGAGGAAGUUCUUCGGCGGGGAGAAGCUGGGCUUCCUGGACAUCGUUCUCGGCUGCGGGUCGCACUGGCUCCGCGGCGUUGAAGAGGUGGCCGGAGAGGACAUCGGCGAGGACUUCCCCUCAUUCACCCGCUGGCUUCGAGAGUUCGAAGCUCAGCCGGAGGUCCAGGAACUGCUUCCCCCUUCCGACAGGCUGCUCGACUACGUCCGCGGCGUCCGCCAAUUGCUACUGAAUCAGUCUUAGGAAGACGACUUCUGCCUGCUCUCCAGUCAGCCCAUGGAAUAAGGAGAGAAGAGCGAGAGCGAGAGAGAGAGAGAGAGAGAGAGGAUCGUGUUUCCAGGGACUGGUAUAAAUCAAUCUUUAGUAUUAACUAAUCUAGUAUUAGGCGUUCCGUCUCGGUCGAGUAAAGAGCUUAAUGACUACUUCACUAUUAUAAUUCUCAGAUCGGAUCAUGAAGAAAAUAAAGUCGGCGCUAUAAGGAGAGAAGACAUCGCUGUGUUACCCGGGACUGGUAUAAAACUAUUUUAAAUGAAUGCAUUAAGUAAUUAUAUCUACCGCGUAAAUAACUUAAUGACCACUUUACCUAUAAAACCGCAAGGAAUUAGCUUAAGAUAGAUCCUUCUUGGUGCCACCUGACGAGAAUCGAAAUUGCCCUCUGUCCCUGAACUCUCCAUCCGAUGGAGUUUUCAUGAUUUCUCACUAUCCGUGGGUGGCUAGUAAUACGGCGUUGUAAGUCACCCAUGCUCCUACGACGGAAACAAGCUCCAGUAUCACUGUUAAGAUUAAAAAUUUAGGGUUUAAGGUUUAAAAUUUAGGGUUGGUGAAGUACUAAUUCUUCAAUAUGCAAAACCCAUCCGGGCCAUCAGUAACAUCAGGAAGAUGUGAACGAGGCGGAGAGCUUCUACGGCAGGGCCAGGGAGCUCCGCCGCGACGACGAGAUCAUCCCAAGCAGUCCGCCGCUUCCCUCUUCUUCUCCUCCCCUCGUUCUGAGUUCGCUGUGCGAUCGGUUGGCGGGAGGAUGACGCCUGGAGUGUCACCGUCCUGCGUGGAGUCGUGGGCUUCGUGGGGUGACGAUAAGAGGGGGACGUCGUUAUCGUGCUGAAUAAGUGCAAGUGUGGAGCGAUAGAUAUCCUGACUGCUUCGGUAGUGCUAUGGAAGUCGUGGACGACGUGGGCGACGUGCAGACGUGCAGCUUCGGCCGUAGGCUUCCGUGGAAAAAGCCGCAGCUUUCGAGUGUAAAGAUCCCUGUAAUGAUAUUAUAUCACACCUCCGCACGACGAGCCCGGUGAGUGAAUUUCGUGAGAUUAAUUAUUUUUAUUCCCGUUCAAAUAUGAUCCCAGAAGCGGGUUUUUAAGGAUGUUCGUUCCCUUUUGAGGAAUUUUCUUGAUUUCGAGGUGUUUUCUACGAGCUUAGAUCCGGCGAAAAUUAACUCUGGGGAUCCGUUCCGUGAUUUCGUUGCCCAUCGACUGCUUGGGCCUCAAGAUAACAGCCGUCGCCGCCGCCGCGGCCUAUAAGGCGGCGACCAUGGCGAGCCAUCCGGCGUCGCUGAAACCAGGCUGGCCGCCAUGGAUGGAGGGGAGCUCAAGCUCUACGGCUUGUGGGCAAGCCCCUUCGUGCAGCGAGUCCGACUCGCCCUCAAGCUCAAGGGCCUGGACUACGAGUACGUGGAGGAGGACCUGUCCAACAAGAGCGCCGCCCUCCUCCGCCUCAACCCUGUGCACAAGAAGGUCCCCGUCCUCCUCCACGGCGGCCGCCCCAUCGCCGAAUCGGCCGUCAUCCUCGAGUACAUCGACGAAACGUGGCCCCAAAGGUUCCCCCUGAUGCCC
This 4466-nucleotide long non-coding RNA is filed under the name Spirodela polyrhiza (greater duckweed). RNAcentral's name for it is "long non-coding RNA (SPOL_LNC001803)". Lineage: Eukaryota; Viridiplantae; Streptophyta; Magnoliopsida; Alismatales; Araceae. The record is from RNAcentral.